AUUCCAGCUCCAAUAGCGUAUAUUAAAGUUGUUGCAGUUGAAACGCUCGUAGUUGGAUGUUUUGUGCCCGCUGUGUGCCCGUUUACGGGGCGGUCGACCAGGUGUCAAAGCCUGUGCCGGUUGCUCCUGGGUGCUCUUUGGCGUGGCGCAGCUUUCUCCCGAUUGUGCCGUGCGUGCCAUUUGUUUGGGGCGUACGGGACGCGGGGCGAUUACUUUGAAAAAAUUAGAGUGUUCAAAGCAGGCAGUUUUUGCUUGAAUAGAUUAGCAUGGAAUAAUGGAAUAGGACUUUGGUUUCUAUUUUGUUGGUUUUGGGGCCGAAGUAAUGAUUAAUAGGGAUAGUUGGGGGCAUUAGUAUUGCACUGUCAGAGGUGAAAUUCUUGGAUUUGUGCAAGACUAACGUGUGCGAAAGCGUUUGCCAAGGAUGUUUUCAUUAAUCAAGAACGAAAGUUAGGGGAUCGAAGACGAUUAGAUACCGUCGUAGUCUUAACCAUAAACUAUGCCGACUAGGGAUCGGUCGCAUGUUGGAUUUUUAUCAACGUGAUCGGCACCUUGAGGGAAACCAAAGUGUUUGGGUUCCGGGGGGAGUAUGGUCGCAAGGCUGAAACUUAAAGGAAUUGACGGAAGGGCACCACCAGGAGUGGAGCCUGCGGCUUAAUUUGACUCAACACGGGAAAACUCACCAGGUCCAGACAUAGGAAGGAUUGACAGGUUGAGAGCUCUUUCUUGAUUCUAUGGGUGGUGGUGCAUGGCCGUUCUCAGUUGGUGGAGUGAUUUGUCUGGUUAAUUCCGUUAACGAACGAGACCUUAACCUACUAAUUAGUGUGCGUAAGCCCUUGUCUCCCUUCGGGGGGUUUGUGGCUUGCGUUGUCCCAGCUUUGGGGCACGGCGUCUGUUAUGGGCGCUGGACACUUCUUAGAGGGACCCCCGGCGGUUAGCCGGUGGAAGUAUGAGGCAAUAACAGGUCUGUGAUGCCCUUAGAUGUUCUGGGCCGCACCCGCGCUACACUGGCGGGAGCAACGGGUAUUCUUAUGGGGAUCUUUCCUUCUUUUUGCCGGGUGUGUGCGCAAGCAUGUGCCUGGUGGGGAGUGGGUUCGCCUCUUGACCUGCCCUGGAAAGGGUGGGGAAUCCUGUGAAACCCCGUCGUGCUGGGGAUAGAUCUUUGCAAUCUUCGAUCUUGAACGAGGAAUUCCUAGUAAGCGCAAGUCAUCAGCUUGCGUUGAUUACGUCCCUGCCCUUUGUACACACCGCCCGUCGCUACUACCGAUUGAAUGGUUUAGUGAGGCCUCGGGAGGGCUGGUGCCUGGCGCGCGCGCAAGCGUGUGUCUUGCCGGCCCGAACUUGGUCAAACUUGAUCAUUUAGAGGAAGUA
This 1368-nucleotide ribosomal RNA is filed under the name metagenome. RNAcentral's name for it is "SSU rRNA". It matches the Rfam family "Eukaryotic small subunit ribosomal RNA", at positions 582 to 1784 of the family's 1831-position model. The record is from RNAcentral.